AUUAAACAAUAAAUAUUUGAUUAGGGUGCAGAGAGGAGCCUUUAGUGAAUGUUAUUUGUAGCAGGCCCCACACUUCUUUCACACAGUACUUCUAUCCUCUUAGUUUGUAAUGGAAGUUAACUCCUAAAGUUUAGACAGUUAGGUUAACAGUUUACUCCUUACAGCUGAACUGCGUUAGGAUGUACAUUAUACAGUACAGUACUGAUAUUUGUAUCUUUGAUUUCCAGAAACAAUAUACAAGAUGUAGACGGGGUAGAAACAUCAUCACAAGCAAGAGAAUGCAUUCAGGGGCAGCAAAUUGAAAUGAGUGAAGGUAGAAAUUUUAUACAAUGUGGAAAGAAUUUGAAGUGUCAAAGUAUUGCCUCAGUAGAAUCUCAGAAUAGAACUCUAAUCCAGUCAAAAGAACAAGAUUUGCACAUUUUCUCUGAUCCCAAAAAAUUGAAUAUUCCUGGUGCCAUUGUAGGACCUCCACCUACUGUGGGCCUAGAUGAGUCAUCUGUAAUUGUAUCCAAGUCUUCAGGAACCUUAGGUAACCAAUCAGAACAUAGGGAUUGCUCUGCACUAGCCAAUAAUUCAGAGAGUGUUAUUAGUUCUAUUAUUGACAGACAGACUGUUAACAUAAAUGACAACAUUAUGGACAUUACAGUCUCUAGCUCAACAACAAUAGAUCGUAUAGAAACUGAAAAGUCAGAACAUAAAAGUAGUUCAUUAUCCUCUGAACCUAACACUCAGGGGGAACAUGACAAAAGAACAGAACAAAUGAAGAACAGUGACACAUCUACAGCACAGACAAUAUUGAAUUCCAUUUCUAAAAACGGCUAUCACAUCCAAGAAGAAGAGGGACAGUUGGACUCCUCACACAGUUACUCUCUGUCACUGGAGCAAAUAAAUAACACAGACAACCCCACCCAAAACUUGUUUAAGAGUGACAGUGGAGGGGAAAAACUUGACAAUGAAGUAUGUGAACUGAAUGCCCUGGAAUUAAAAAAGAUGCAGUUGGUGAAGAAAGUGAAGAUGUUGGUAACUCAAAAAAAUAAUCUCAAUUUGCAGAGAGAUACUGUUAUGAAUAAUUUCUCUGGUGACACUGCCAAACUUGCCCACAUACUGAAGGAAAAUUCUCACCUUUCAAACAGAAUAUCUAGUCAUAUUCUCAAGAUUAAUGCUGAGAUCAAAUUUACCAAUAAAAAAAUUUGUGAUUUGGAAAAUAGCAGAAGUAGGGAAAAACCAUCUUUACUCAAAGACUCUUGUAUGGAUAAGAAAAAGACAAAUGCAUCUUCACAUUCUGCAUUACUUUCAUCAAAACUGGAGACUGAACCAACAGUCAACUUAUCAAAUUAUCAUUCUCUACACAAGCAUGAGACUAAAGAUAUUAGUAAAGGUCAGGAAUCACAUGUCUCAAUGCAGAAAAAGUCUACCAGUAAGGUCAAAGACAGUGAGAUUCAUACAAAACCUAAUGAAAUUUGCUCUCAGACAGAUUCAAGGAUGCCAGUAAUGACACAGAAAAGGAAGGUUUUUCAGGAGGAAGAAGGUGAUAAUACAGAGAUGUGUGAUGAGAGCCUGAGGCAGACACAACAUGCCUAUAGUGCGAGGGACAACAGUACUGCAAGAAAGGACUCUUACCAGGAAAAUAUAAAAGCUACAAAAACAAAGGGUGCUACAUCAGAGUCAUCAAAUACUCUCAAAAAGAAUUUGUGCCCAGAAAAUGAUAAAUCUGUGGUACUCAAGAGUUACAUGUCAGAUAUAUCAAAGGAUAUGAACACAUAUUGGUGUAAGCCAUGCAACGUGUUUUUUAUAAAUGUAUAUGGAUAUGUGAAACACCUGGAGUCAUCAAGUCAUCUAGAGAAACUAAAGGGAUCGGUGGUUGGAUUCCUGGUCACUCCCAGUUCACCCAGCUGUAAAUGGGUGCCAAAGUUUACAACUUGGGAAAGUAAAUCCUGUAGAGUACAGUACCAGCCAUGCUGCCUGCCUCCUUGUGUACCAGAGGCUUAGUAUACAGUGUGCUGUAUCCACACUGUCCCUAAUGGGCAGUCAUGCCCUUAAUCCUUGUCACUCAGUCCAAACUGAUUUACUGUACAGUACUACCCAAAUUUUCUCAAAGACUUUUAACCAUGUGUAGUCUCACACACACACAAAGUGCCUUUUGAUGAGUACUGUAAUGUUCUGCAAUAUCUGGUCACUUUUAGGAUGAUGACUGCUCGUGGAUGGAAAAGCUUCCAAACUACAAAAUGGAUCAACAACAAGAAGAUAUUAAUGAGAACCAACACACAUUAGGGGUAGAAUAUCUACAUUCCUAAGUCCUCUUCUGUGAGCUGUGUGAGAGACUCAUUUUGAAUACAGAAGAUGCUGUCCUUCACACCCAGUCCCUUCUUCAUUUCACAAAGUACAAGGUUU
RNAcentral lists this unclassified non-coding RNA (2391 nucleotides) under Homarus americanus (American lobster). Its description in RNAcentral is "uncharacterized LOC121863282, transcript variant X1". Lineage: Eukaryota; Metazoa; Arthropoda; Malacostraca; Decapoda; Nephropidae. The record is from RNAcentral.